CAAGGCUUAACACAUGCAAGUCGAGGGGCAGCAUUGGGAUAGCUUGCUAUUUCAGAUGGCGACCGGCGCACGGGUGAGUAACGCGUAUCCAACCUCCUGCCAGUAGGGAACAGCCCGGCGAAAGUCGGAUUAAUGCCCUAUGUUCUUCAAUGCGGACAUCUAAGUUGAAGGAAAGAUUCAUCGCUGGCAGAUGGGGAUGCGUCCGAUUAGCUUGCCGGCGGGGUAACGGCCCACCGGGGCGACGAUCGGUAGGGGUUCUGAGAGGAAGGUCCCCCACACUGGUACUGAGACACGGACCAGACUCCUACGGGAGGCAGCAGUGAGGAAUAUUGGUCAAUGGGCGUAAGCCUGAACCAGCCAAGUAGCGUGCAAGGACGACGGCCCUACGGGUUGUAAACUGCUUUUAUGCGGGGAUAAAGUGCGGCACGUGUGCCGCUUUGCAGGUACCGCAUGAAUAAGGACCGGCUAAUUCCGUGCCAGCAGCCGC
This 487-nucleotide ribosomal RNA is filed under the name uncultured bacterium. RNAcentral describes it as "bacterial SSU rRNA". It matches the Rfam family "Bacterial small subunit ribosomal RNA", at positions 43 to 518 of the family's 1533-position model. The record is from RNAcentral.